Long non-coding RNA from Triticum aestivum (bread wheat), 2315 nucleotides. RefSeq lists it as uncharacterized. The record is from RefSeq and is a predicted model, not a curated record. The transcript is spliced from 4 exons. Lineage: Eukaryota; Viridiplantae; Streptophyta; Magnoliopsida; Poales; Poaceae.
CUCUCCAGCAUGUGGUUUGGUAUUUCUUGACUGCAAGUAUUCAGCAGCCACAACUGAACUGAAGAUCAGCAAGUAUUUAAGCAACACAUAUGUUUGGUUUGCAUGUGUUAUAACCAGAUCAACGAAGUUUCUGCACAUCAUGAGUAAGAGGUGAAGAAAUCAUGUUUGCAAAUGGCCAUCGAUUAAACUGCAGUAUUUUCCAUGAACUGUGGUAACUCUUGCCUAGAAAAACUGCAUGAGAAAAAGUCUUGCUUCAGGUGAAUUUUUGCGUUAUCAUCUUUUGUACAGGUUGAAACUAUCAAGUGUUAACUUUUGUGGUUUGUUAACAAGACUGUUCAUCAUAUCCACUUGUGCAGGUACCAUAGCCAGAGUCACUUAUUCGGCAUGGUUUUAUACUGGAAUUAACCACAUAACUAAUUUUGUUUUACCACCUUGACGCCUUCAGUUACAUAGAGCUUCUGUCAAUGCCCAACCGAUAAUGAACAAGUACAAUUUUAUAGAUGGUUCAAGUGAAGUUGUGCAAAGUGAAUCAAUUCUGCAAGAUACCAUGCCAUACAUUUUUCCUUGGUAGCAUUAACAUGUAUAGAUCAUUUUAUUGUGUACAACAAAGUCAACAAUACAUGUUUGUAUAACCAUGGCUUUGGUCAAUUUCUGCCAUCGAGCUUCUGCGAAAAUGUGACCAGGAACUAAUUAUGUCGUAAUUCAGUAUAGAACCUGACACUAAAUAAUACUCCCUUCGUUCACUAAUGUAAGACCUUUUAGCUUUUUCUUGAUCGGUUUCUCUUCUUCAGUUGUUGGCUGCCCGUGCAACAAUUUUUCUUGAACCAAGUACUUUGCACUAUAUUUUGAACUUUCUAAUUUUGUUCCGUGACAUGUUUUUGCAGCCUUCCAUUCAAAAUUAGAUCUGGAGGCCUUCGGAUAGCAAUAAAUUUUACCUUUGUUUGUUCAUGCUUCAUGAAUUUGUUUUCCAACUGAUUAUUUGUUGUUGCAAAUUUCAGAUUUUGACAGGUUUGGGUCCAUCUAUAACAUGCUUGACCGGGCGAUCACGUGGCUAUCGAGCACUCUUAUUUUCUGGUCAUAAGCUCUUACUAAGAUGUUGUCGGUCGGGUGUCCUCUACUACUGAAGUUUUACCACGAUCUGGUGGUGCUUGAGAGCAGAGACGACAUACUUUCAUCAGCAGUGGCCAAACCCCCACCGCCGCCGGUGCUGUACACCCCUGUACCCCUCGACAUCCAGUGCCUCGCGUCUGCCCAACAUGAAAACCUCCUCAAUAGGAUAGUGCCCUUUAUGUGCAUGAACUAAUGGGUGUGUUCACAACAUAGAGCAGCUUCUCCAUCCAGUCUCAUGUCUUUCUCUUUAGCAGGGAUCAGUGAGUACUACCGAGCAAAAAAGUCCUUCUCUUCGUCAUAUUUCUUCCUUUUCCUUACUACUUUUGUGGCUCCAAAUCUCUUGAUGGCUCUAUGUCUGUUCUUUUUGUUGACAUGGAUUUUACCCUGAAAGUUUUUCUUCUGAUCUACAAUGUUCUGCCAUCUAAAUUUUUCUGUAUAUUAUGAAUGAGUAGACACUGGUGCAGAAGCCCAAUUGGAUGAAAUUACGGACUACAGAGAGGUGUAAUUAUUAAUUAAUUCAUUUCUUUAAAAGAUAUGCAACUAGCAGAGUUUCUUACUUCUAUGAUUUGGAUUAUGACCGAAUUGAAGAACUUAUGUGGACAGCCCGGCAGAUUUCAGUGGCAAGACUUUUGUACAAUUACAGUGGCAGAUUUCAGAAAUUUGUAGAGCACAUGAUUUACAAGAACAAGAUAUUCUGUCAAGCCAUGGAUAUCAACAAUCAGUCAAGCAAAGAAAUAUUCAUGGGAGAUAUACAGGGAUCCACAAGAAUGUGCACCGUGUAGCACUACCCUUUUGUCAUUGAGCCACUAUCACAUUUUGGCCAGCAAUCAGUUCAAGCAGUUCUCGGCGCCUUUAGUCAGAAGCUGGAAUUUACAACUAAACGAACAUCAAGCAACAGAAGAAAGGGUGGUCAUCUCUUUUUCUUGGCACCAAGAUGCCAUACAAGCAUUGAGACAUCGGAAACACAUAAGAAGUUUGUAUAUAAAUGAUUAGCCUUUUAGAAGUAUAUGGCGUUGCUUAAACUAUGUUUCUUUUGGCAACACCAUAUGAAAUGGAGAAAGUUUUAGGUUUAGGAUAAAAUUGUUCUAGAUUUUGAGAAAAUUGUUACAGAUCCAUGAGAAAAAUGUCCCAACUUUAGGAAAUUAACUAUCCAUAUUUUCGGUUAUUGGUUAAUAAGCUGGCCACAAUAGUUUUUUUAUUUCUAA